Hydractinia symbiolongicarpus is the source of this 1647-nucleotide long non-coding RNA. RefSeq lists it as uncharacterized. The transcript has 2 exons. Lineage: Eukaryota; Metazoa; Cnidaria; Hydrozoa; Anthoathecata; Hydractiniidae. The record is from RefSeq and is a predicted model, not a curated record.
UACUAUAGUUACAUUUAGGAUUAAACUAGCAUUUAUUACUUAAUACUCAGUAAAUAGGUCAAGUUUGAAUAUUAAACUUUUUCGCUAUAGCUAGCUAGACUAAGCAUGAAAGGAGCUGGGUUAAAAGUCAAAACUUAAAGAGGAAAAUUACAUCACAUUUUUUAAGAUUAUACUACACAUAUUUGAGAACACCUGAAAAAUGCAUUGUUCAUCAAGUUACCCCAUAUGGCUAAUAUGGAAGAUUUCUUCAUAAAAAGCAUCAAAACUUUUUUCAUGUGGAUUACUUUUACAUUAACAAAAAUUUAAAAUUUGAAGAUAAACUUUUGCGAUUUUGUCAUUCAUUAGUUUUCAAAUUUCUCGCUGGAAAUUUUUAAGGUUUAAAACCCAUGUCUCACAGUAACUUUUUCGUUCUUAUCCUAAUGUUAAUACAUGAGUUGUGCAACAACUUUUGCAGGAAAAUAAAAACACAUCAAGAGAAAAAGUUUGUUAUUAAAAUAUUAUAAACUAGUUGUUAGCCCGUGGAAAUCCACGGUUCGCCCAUCCUUUUUAUACUGCAUUGCGUGCUUCUUGCUAUUGCACAGCUAAGCUACCAUUUUGCGUGACAGACAGAUGUAUACGGGUAUUAUAAUAUAGAUUAAUUUCAAACCGAUUAGUCCCUGCAGUCAUUUUGGUGUCAGCGGUAUAAAAAACUAUGCAACUAUACUAAGUAAAAGUCCUAUUACUUCAGUAAAAAUGAAAAAGAUAUUAUACCCUUAAUGCUAUAAGUGCUCCACUGGAUUUGUAACACAUUACACUAAGUGUCCUCCAUGUGAAACAGUUUACGCUUUACUAAGUCUUAACCUGAAGACUUUAGGUCUUCCCACUUCAAGUGAAUAUUACUUCUGGCUAUACUUUCCCAAAUUUUGUUAUUUCAUAAAAGAAAACUGAAAAUCUACAAAAUUAUUUAUAUAUAUGUGCAGAAAUUUAUUUAUGAAAUAUAGGUUUCAGUUUGUUGUGGAAACAUGUUUACCAACAUGCAAUGUCUUGCAUACCUAACUAGCUAUAUACUCAAGUCUUGAAUGUUCACUGUUAUGGGAGGUCCAAAUAACUACCUAGCUUUUUUUUAUUUAAAAUGACAGAAUGCCUUAAAAAAUCUUUUGUGCAGCUAGCUACAUUAAAGCAAUAUAUUUAGCUUUUGUACUUUAUCACUUAAUUAUUUAAUAACAAAUGCGCCCUGGAGUGCUGGCAUGGUACUGGCUAGGUAGCUUAAAAUCACAAAAUAAAUAUUAUCCAGAUGUGACCAUCCUCAUCAUCAGACAUCGGAACAGCGUUUUUGUUCUUUACUUCUCAUUGUAGGGUACCUCAAAUUCUUGUAAAUCCAAUUAACAAAAAUUACUUAAGAAUUCCUCUUCUUGUAUAUUUGCAGCUUAUUGACACCCUCUUAUUUUAGAAUAUUCUCAGAAAUAAUAGACCAAAAGAAAUUACAUCACAGUUUCUUGUCCACCGCCCACGUGUGUUUGAGAACAACCCACACAAAAAAAUUGUGUGCAAUGGGAGUGAGUGAUGUAAUCUUUCAAUGCGUGUGAUGAAAAGAAAGCGAAACCGUUAUUGUUUUUUCUGCCAAAAAUUUAUUUAAUAAAUCUUGAUAAAGUUAAAAAACUGUUUUGA